This is a non-coding RNA of Arvicanthis niloticus (Nile rat), 583 nucleotides long. NCBI's taxonomy places the organism in Eukaryota, Metazoa, Chordata, Mammalia, Rodentia, Muridae. The record is from RefSeq and is a predicted model, not a curated record.
GCCAGCUAGGGGCGGAAGACAGACGCAAGGCGGGCAGCUUGGCCGGCCGGUUGCCUAGCAGCGGAUGAGGAGUGCGAGGGACCAAACUUAUGUUAUCAAGCCAUGUGUUUUUAACCUGCUGAGCCAUGUUGAUGACCAAAAUCUCAGUAAACUUCAGCUCUGCUUCAAACUGCCUGGCCCCUGGAAUUCUUUGCUACAAUGAAAUCAAGAAUCCUGUUGUCAUUUGAAUGGAGGUCCCUGGAAAGAAGUAACCUGAAAAUAAUGGGCUUGGGCUGCUGCUGGUGGCAGAGUGGAACUGUAUCUCUGGCCCACACCUCACUGCUGGUGGCAAAAGAGGGAGAAAAGAUGGAAAAAGCCACAGGCACCAAUUGAAGAUGCUACUCGACACUGAAGCAUCCCUGAGGCUCCCGAAGCUUGGAAUUCUUCCCUAGAAUGUUCAGAGGAAACAGUCUCAUAUUAACAUCAUCAUUUCAGACUUCUGGCUACAGAUAUGUGUGGGAAUAUUCUUGGUUUAAGCCAUAAGUGUUUGAGAAUGGAGAUCUACAGGUAUGCAUUUUUAAAAAAUACAAACAUGCAAAAUUAA